Molecule: long non-coding RNA, 262 nt
Filed under: Sorghum bicolor (sorghum)
Lineage: Eukaryota; Viridiplantae; Streptophyta; Magnoliopsida; Poales; Poaceae
Description: long non-coding RNA (SBIC_LNC016538)
Source: RNAcentral
AAUUUGCUAGAAAUCAAGCAGUCAAGCUUGUCCAGUUGAACGCUUUCACUUUGAUUCGAAAGUUUUCCUUUCUACUAUGUCUAGCAGAUAUUUGUCUACUUGAUGAAUGUCCUCACGUUGAAUCACAGGUUUUCACAGCAGUACGGAGUUUGUCCAAUUUAGUAUUUUCAGUCUCAAAUCAAAACCUUUUAGUCUUUCACACAAAUUUGCCCCAUUGAUUGGGUUUGAGAUUCAAGGUCUUAUGUUUUCCAUAUUAUCCCCC